RNAcentral lists this ribosomal RNA (448 nucleotides) under uncultured bacterium. RNAcentral describes it as "bacterial SSU rRNA". It matches the Rfam family "Bacterial small subunit ribosomal RNA", at positions 330 to 792 of the family's 1533-position model. The record is from RNAcentral.
GCCAGACUCCUACGGGAGGCAGCAGUGGGGGAUAUUGGACAAUGGGGGGAACCCUGAUCCAGCGACGCCGCGUGAGUGAAGAAGUAUCUCGGUAUGUAAAGCUCUAUCAGCAGGGAAGAAAGAAAUGACGGUACCUGAGUAAGAAGCCCCGGCUAACUACGUGCCAGCAGCCGCGGUAAUACGUAGGGGGCAAGCGUUAUCCGGAAUUACUGGGUGUAAAGGGAGCGUAGACGGCAGCGCAAGUCUGAAGUGAAAUCCCAUGGCUUAACCAUGGAACUGCUUUGGAAACUGUGCAGCUGGAGUGCAGGAGAGGUAAGCGGAAUUCCUAGUGUAGCGGUGAAAUGCGUAGAUAUUAGGAGGAACACCAGUGGCGAAGGCGGUCUGCUGGACAGCAACUGACGCUGAGGCGCGAAAGCGUGGGGAGCAAACAGGAUUAGAUACCCGAGUA